Drosophila sechellia is the source of this 699-nucleotide long non-coding RNA. RefSeq lists it as uncharacterized. The transcript is spliced from 2 exons. The record is from RefSeq and is a predicted model, not a curated record. Lineage: Eukaryota; Metazoa; Arthropoda; Insecta; Diptera; Drosophilidae.
GUGCUGCGAGAGACAGAUAAUGGGUAUAAGCAACGGAUAGAAAGUUUAAGCUAAAAUCAAGGGAAAUAGAAGUCAGAUGCAGCAGACGCGCUAAUCGAAAAACUCAUCUUUCGCCAAGAUGGAUCGUAGUAGACAUUAUCUGAUAAGGUGGAAUGGAAAUUGCCAGACAUACAAACACGCCGUGUGAAUCAUAAACAAAAAACAUCUUGGUAAUUUUGCCACUCGCUUUUGAGUUUAAAUGCGUUUUAGAUUGUAGAUACUUCACAUUCGUGUAUCUCUGUAUUCAUAAGUGUUUUGUUUGGAGCCGUGCGAGUCCAAAGUUCAAUUAUUGCACGCUACAGAUUCGUUAAACAUACAUAUAUAUAUAAAUUAAUUAGUAUACAGCUCUCGAUGUCAUAACACUUUACAUGCAAUUGAUGAUUGACGUCACUGAGCGCAGCUUUAUUCAGCUGGGGCUAGGGUUAUCAUUGCCGAGACUAACGAUGGAGUCUGUCUGUGAUUGUGGCUCUGAGUCCAUCCAAUGGAUGGCAUUCAAUUCUAGAACGGCCUCGAGUGGUUAGGAAGCAACGAAGACAAAGUGCACCUUUCCUCACUCGAAAGAUAAUUGCUCCGAUAAAUAAUUUGUAAGCUUCGCCAGUCAGCUGCAGUUCUACACCUUCGCCGGGUUUGGAUUCGCAAAUAAAUUGCACAACUAUUUGA